This 301-nucleotide ribosomal RNA is filed under the name uncultured Desulfurobacterium sp. Its description in RNAcentral is "bacterial SSU rRNA". It matches the Rfam family "Bacterial small subunit ribosomal RNA", at positions 494 to 795 of the family's 1533-position model. Lineage: Bacteria; Pseudomonadati; Aquificota; Aquificia; Desulfurobacteriales; Desulfurobacteriaceae. The record is from RNAcentral.
CGGCGAAGUUGCGGCCGGAGGCGUCGGUAAUACCAAUGGUGCAAAGGGUGCUCGGAAUUAUUGGGCGUAAAGCGCACGUAGGCGGCUUGCAAGUCGGAUGUGAAAUCCCUCGGCUGAACCAAGGAAGUGCAUCCGAAACUGCAGAGCUUGAGUACGAAAGAGGAUCGCGGAAUUCCCGGUGUAGAGGUGAAAUUCGUAGAUAUCGGGAGGAACACCAGUGGCGAAGGUGGCGAUCUGGGUCGAUACUGACGCUGAGGUGCGAAAGCGUGGGGAGCAAACAGGAUUAGAUACCCGGGUAGUC